This is a long non-coding RNA of Schistocerca americana (American grasshopper), 455 nucleotides long. RefSeq lists it as uncharacterized. Lineage: Eukaryota; Metazoa; Arthropoda; Insecta; Orthoptera; Acrididae. The record is from RefSeq and is a predicted model, not a curated record. The transcript is spliced from 5 exons.
AUUCGAAACAUAAUCUCUGAUGUUAGUGUUGAUGUCUGUGCUGAGGCUUGCCGUUUAAAUUGAAAAUAUGUGGGAGUGAUUGAGGGAUGCUGUGCUUUGCUAGAAACUGCAGCACACACACGGACAGCAGUGACGCUCAAGGUGUUGGAUAGAAAAACCUUUCACUUUUUAUGCAUUUGAGAAGGUGCUAUGAAGAAGCAGAAUCAACAGGGGCUGAAGUAAUGACGGGAAAACUGAACUGUUUGUUGUGUCAUCAGGCAGACAGCACAUGAAUUACCAGAUGUGAUCCAAUAAACUCCAAGACCAGCACACAAAAAUUGGAAGAUGGAACUGUUGUCCUGUUGAAAAGCUUUUGGAGAAAGAGAUAAUGCAGCAGUGAAACAUCUGGAGCAAACUUCAACCAACACUGACAAUCAAGAUUGUGUGACUCGAUCAGUUUGGCUUCGAAAAAAAUG